GCGUCUGUAGCUCAGUUGGUUAGAGCACCACCUUGAUAUGGUGGGGGUCGAUGGUUCGAGUCCAUUCAGACGCACCA
Molecule: transfer RNA, 77 nt
Filed under: Salmonella enterica
Lineage: Bacteria; Pseudomonadati; Pseudomonadota; Gammaproteobacteria; Enterobacterales; Enterobacteriaceae
Also listed under: 1 other name
Description: tRNA-Ile
Rfam family: tRNA
About the family: Transfer RNA (tRNA) molecules are approximately 80 nucleotides in length. Their secondary structure includes four short double-helical elements and three loops (D, anti-codon, and T loops). Further hydrogen bonds mediate the characteristic L-shaped molecular structure. tRNAs have two regions of fundamental functional importance: the anti-codon, which is responsible for specific mRNA codon recognition, and the 3' end, to which the tRNAs corresponding amino acid is attached (by aminoacyl-tRNA synthetases). tRNAs cope with the degeneracy of the genetic code in two manners: having more than one tRNA (with a specific anti-codon) for a particular amino acid; and 'wobble' base-pairing, i.e. permitting non-standard base-pairing at the 3rd anti-codon position.
Source: RNAcentral